Molecule: ribosomal RNA, 424 nt
Filed under: uncultured bacterium
Lineage: Bacteria
Description: bacterial SSU rRNA
Rfam family: Bacterial small subunit ribosomal RNA
Source: RNAcentral
GGAAUUGUUCGCAAUGGGCGCAAGCCUGACGACGCACCGCCGCGUGGGGGAUGAAGGUCCUCGGAUUGUAAACCCCUGUCGAGCGGGACGAACGGCCCGCGCCCUAACCCGUCGUGGGCGUGACGGUACCGCGAACGGAAGCCCCGGCUAACUCUGUUCCAGCAGCCGCGGUAAUACAGAGGUGGCAAGCGUUGUUCGGAAUUACUGGGCGUAAAGGGCGCGUAGGCGGCUGUCUAAGUCAGACGUGAAAUCCCCCGGCUCAACCUGGGAACUGCGUCUGAUACUGGGCGGCUUGAAUGCGGGAGAGGGAUGUAGAAUUCCAGGUGUAGCGGUGAAAUGCGUAGAUAUCUGGAGGAAUACCGGUGGCGAAGGCGGCAUCCUGGACCGACAUUGACGCUGAGGCGCGAAAGCUAGGGUAGCAAAC